GGCGACCAUUAUUGGGUGCUCCUCCAGAGAGUGAGGUUUGAAGCUUCCGUGAGUUGAGUUGGCCUCACCAGGACUGGUCAUCUGCUUCUGCCGGCCCAGGCCCCUGAGUUCGCGCAGCUCCAGGGGCGGGGCAUCGCCUCACCCCUUACAGCAGGACUGUAAGGUCAGCGACCCACAUUUGGCCUCUGCCUUCUCACCAGACCCCAGGCCCGCGACCCCCGCCAGGUCGGUCCCUUUCAUGAGCAAAUCCCAGGAUUGUGUAACCUUCCAGGAUACAUCAUACAGGUAAGACAUUGACUAAUUCAACAAACAUGUGAAAGAAAGUAACAGACAAAAAAAAAAAAAAAAAAGUGAGGUGAUUACAAAUUUCAUUAUCCUGGACAAGUAGACCUAUAGUUCUGUAUAUUUGCAGAUUUCCUUUCAGAGUUGUGAGUAUGUUGUACAUGGCAGCACACCUGUAUUUGUGAGCUCUCAGAAUUGGCCUGGCCAGGGGAUAGCAAAAAACAGACAGGAAAAAAAUGAAGGAGCUUGUUAGAGGUACAUAAACCCUGGAGCAGCAGAAGCAGUGAUGCCAGCAAAAGUAGUCCAAGGAUCUUACAGAGGGAGCAAGCUGCGUCCAACCAUGCUGCACUCCCUGCAUACCUGACAGAAAGGAGAGGCAGGAAGAAAGCA
RNAcentral lists this long non-coding RNA (672 nucleotides) under Bos indicus x Bos taurus (hybrid cattle). RNAcentral's name for it is "lncRNA (ENSBIXG00000030122.1)". The record is from RNAcentral. Lineage: Eukaryota; Metazoa; Chordata; Mammalia; Artiodactyla; Bovidae.